Molecule: ribosomal RNA, 483 nt
Filed under: uncultured bacterium
Lineage: Bacteria
Description: partial 16S ribosomal RNA
Rfam family: Bacterial small subunit ribosomal RNA
Source: RNAcentral
AUUGAACGCUGGCGGCAGGCCUAACACAUGCAAGUCGAGCGGAUGAAGGGAGCUUGCUCCUGGAUUCAGCGGCGGACGGGUGAGUAAUGCCUAGGAAUCUGCCUGGUAGUGGGGAUAACGUCCGGAAACGGGCGCUAAUACCGCAUACGUCCUGAGGGAGAAAGUGGGGGAUCUUCGGACCUCACGCUAUCAGAUGAGCCUAGGUCGGAUUAGCUAGUUGGUGGGGUAAAGGCCUACCAAGGCGACGAUCCGUAACUGGUCUGAGAGGAUGAUCAGUCACACUGGAACUGAGACACGGUCCAGACUCCUACGGGAGGCAGCAGUGGGGAAUAUUGGGCAAUGGGCGAAAGCCUGAUCCAGCCAUGCCGCGUGUGUGAAGAAGGUCUUCGGAUUGUAAAGCACUUUAAGUUGGGAGGAAGGGCAGUAAGUUAAUACCUUGCUGUUUUGACGUUACCAACAGAAUAAGCACCGGCUAACUUCGUG